AUUGAACGCUGGCGGCAUGCCUUACACAUGCAAGUCGAACGGCAGCGGACCUUCGGGUGCCGGCGAGUGGCGAACGGGUGAGUAAUAUAUCGGAACGUACCUUUCAGUGGGGGAUAACGUAGCGAAAGUUACGCUAAUACCGCAUAUUCUGUGAGCAGGAAAGCAGGGGAUCGCAAGACCUUGCGCUGAUUGACGCGGCCGAUAUCAGAUUAGCUAGUUGGUGAGGUAAAGGCUCACCAAGGCGACGAUCUGUAGCGGGUCUGAGAGGAUGAUCCGCCACACUGGAACUGAGACACGGUCCAGACUCCUACGGGAGGCAGCAGUGGGGAAUUUUGGACAAUGGGCGCAAGCCUGAUCCAGCCAUGCCGCGUGAGUGAGAAGG
This 382-nucleotide ribosomal RNA is filed under the name uncultured bacterium. RNAcentral describes it as "bacterial SSU rRNA". It matches the Rfam family "Bacterial small subunit ribosomal RNA", at positions 30 to 413 of the family's 1533-position model. The record is from RNAcentral.